Molecule: small nuclear RNA, 107 nt
Organism: Trichechus manatus latirostris (Florida manatee)
Lineage: Eukaryota; Metazoa; Chordata; Mammalia; Sirenia; Trichechidae
Source: RefSeq, a predicted model, not a curated record
GUGCUUUCUUCAGCAACACAUAUACUAAAAUUUGAAUGAUACAGAGUAGAUUAUAGUGGCCCCUGCACAAGGAUGACACUUAAAUUCAUGAAGAAUGCCAUAUUUUU